Long non-coding RNA from Artibeus jamaicensis (Jamaican fruit-eating bat), 2183 nucleotides. RefSeq lists it as uncharacterized. The transcript is spliced from 4 exons. NCBI's taxonomy places the organism in Eukaryota, Metazoa, Chordata, Mammalia, Chiroptera, Phyllostomidae. The record is from RefSeq and is a predicted model, not a curated record.
UUGAAGCAGUCAGGAAUUAUUUUUAGUCGUUUAAACGAAGAAAUCAAAUUAAUUUUGAGAGCUCUGUGAGUGUAUAUUGACUGUCCACGUAUCAUUGAUGGAGAAAAAACAUCGUACACCUUUGGGCACUUGUCUUUAAUUAGAGUUAAGUAGAGCUGACAGGAUCCCAAACAAAAUACAAGGGAAAAAAAUCUAAGAAACUGUGUAAUUUUCAAGACUAAAUUAAAUUGAUUGGGAAACAACCCAGAGCCACUCCUCGAAGCAAAAUGACGCCUGCUUAGAAAACUACAUGCUCUCUUCCUCCUGGGUCCUCCUUAAAGUUUAGCAAGUUUGGAUCCUGCCGGAGUGGGAGUCAGCACUGGCCCUGCGGGUCUGAAGGUGGUCGCUUCCAUUCCUGGCCAGGUGAACGCGGUCAGGUCUUUAAUGAGCACGGGAUUCCCACACCUCCCGCACCUCCUGCCGCCUUCAAAGCCGCCUCUCCCACCAACACCUGCUGCUCCCUCGGCCACACCCCUUCCUCCAGCGCUUCCGGGCUCUCUCCUGCGACCGUCUGCAUUCUCCAGGAAAAGCGUGGCACCGGGCUGGACGGCCAUCGUUUCCGUGUCUGUGUCCCUCGGAAGACCGUGAACUUGACGGUCUUAACUUCCUAUCUGCAGCUCCUAGCAGCUCCUCGCACUCUGCUGAAUGAAUGGCUAUCAAUCCAACAGCUUUGUGAGCUCUGUGGGUCAGUGGGAGUUAUUUUUUCCUUUCUCGUCGUGUCCAUUCUUGCUAGACAGGCAAAGACCCCGAGAGCAGCCCACCAACGUCCCGCACCCCUGUCUGCUAAAGCUUCUUCCAAGUUCUGCUUCCAGCCCUGUGUUGGCCCCAGACUUCAGUUCGAUUCCAGACCUGACGGCUAAGGGUCUUGCCAUGAAAAUGAAACCUGUGGAGCGUUUCAUUUCUGCAAUACUCAGAGGAAAUAAAAAAGAAUAAUAAAAGUGGAGUGCAAUCAAAGGGCCCAACCUGUGCCCGAGUCGGGGACCCAGGAUAGGGUACAGAAGGCAUGCGACCUCACGGGAGGAAGUCGAAGCUCUGCAGGAGGAAGGGUUACGCUUCACCAAACCCAAAAGCCGAGAGAGGCUCACCGAAAAAGGUGGGAAGCCAGCUGAGCGAGAAAAGGAUUGGCUGCAGGUGGCCCUGACGGGUGUAAAAGGAGCCUUAAUAGCUACCCCACGAGAUGUUUUCACCCGGCCGGCCCAACUCUUGGAGCACUGAGAACACUUGUACAAAAACAAGAAAACACCCAGCAUUUAAGAUGUUCAGAGUCUUAAGUACAGAACAUGCUUCGGACAAAAAGAAUCCACAAGUCGAAUCUGUUUUCGCAUCUCCUUCAGGUGGCCCUGGAAGCGAUUGGCAGAUUGGCGGCUCCCGCUAGUGGCACGUUCCCUGUGACGAGUAUCGUGUUUGGGACCAGAAGCUGUACCACUUCCGAGUUUACCCGUGAAAAACAACAGAAGCCGGAGCCCUGGCGCACGCGGCGCCUGGCGGCCCAGAGCUCCUGUCUCCCGCUCACAACUCCUCCUCUCCACGCGGCAGUCUCCUGAUGGCAGGGACCGGAGUCCACUUCAUAAGUUGGAAAUCUCCCUAAUUCGUCUUUGGAGGAGACAUUCAGUGACCAGCUUUGCUGAGCAAGGUCAGGAAGACUGCAAGAUGCAGCAUCGUGAGCUCUACCCACAAGGGCACCUCGGGGGAAGAACACACCCUCCUAGGACCCAAAACACCUGAGUCCUGCUCAGCUUAUGAGCCAACCACUGGUCUGUGAAGGAACUUGAACAUGUGACUCAGCAUGUCACCGAGGAAAGCAUACAAGAAGAUCAAUUUUGAAAAUGCGUUUGUAGAGCUUAGUGUUGGUGAAUUUGUGUUCCUGCUGCUGCUUGAAUCACAGCUAAAUCCAUGUAUUCCUUCGCCUCUUCAAGUGUUUUGACGUCUACAGGAAAUGACCUCGCCCUGGAAAGCCAAUGAAAGAUGAACCGAAAAUCCGGAACGGCAACCUUGAGGAACUUGAUGGAAGGCACCGACCAUAUUGGGUCAAAUAUAAAAUCAUAGACUUCAGUAAGUACCCUAGUACUUCAAAGCCCAAAUGAUCAAAACCAGGGAAAUGUGAAUUGCAUAAAACUUUUAUUAUUUAUUAGCAGUGUAUUCUU